This is an RNA transcript of Eurytemora carolleeae, 2839 nucleotides long. RefSeq lists it as uncharacterized. Lineage: Eukaryota; Metazoa; Arthropoda; Copepoda; Calanoida; Temoridae. The transcript has 24 exons. The record is from RefSeq and is a predicted model, not a curated record.
AAUUAGAACUCUUUAGAAAUUAUUUUUAGAUAAUGUACGUUUAAAAAAACAAUGAUUUUCCUGCAGGUGCUGUUGUAUUGUUUGGAUUUCAGUUCUGUGUUUGCAGAAAAAAUGGCGACUUUUGAGAAGUUUGUUGAUGAACCAACAAAAAACAAAAACACAUUUUAUUUAACACCGAAAGAACCCUUACUCCCGAGUGACACAAAUAUAUCAGCUGUUGGCCUUUGUUUCCGGUUUUAUUAUUCAAGUUUUCUCGGAACAUCAAACUUUAACUGGUUCUCUGCUCAACACACAUCCACAGACGGACAAUAUGCUCUAUCUUGGGAAGUACUGGAUUUGGGUCCGUAUAUCGGCAAGUUUUUGAUUGAUCAGAAACCGUUUAUGAUUUCCAAGACCCAAAGAAUUGAAAUCUUUAAUGAAGGAAGCCGACCUCUCCGCUGGUUUUCUCGAGAUACUAAUCCUGUAGAUUCAGGAACUUGGCACCAUUUCUGCUCAACAUAUGAUCAUAAUUCUAUUCAUCUACUGACUGUACUAAACAAGAAUAUGAUUGACAACUAUACAUUUACGCCACUUGUUUCUAAACUCAAGGGUCCCACACCGCUAAUGUUUAAUCAUUACAAACCAGAAAGUUCUGAAGGAUUUCGGAUGGCACUGGAUAAUAAUGUGAAGGUGACAGAUGUUCAAGUCUGGAAUAGGUUUCUUACAGUUGAGGAAAUGAUCGCCUAUACAUCAUGUGAAUUUUCUAUUAAAGGUUCAGUUUAUCAAUGGAACAGCAGUGAUUGGACCUUUGCUGGAACCAACGUGACUUUGCUGAAAUCUCAAGAAUCAACUGUUGAAACAACGCAUCUUUGCUCCAAGGAAAAACUUUUCUUGGUCCCUGAUAUGCUUAAGCAUCAAGAAGCUUUAGAUCAAUGCAAACUUUUUGGAGGCGAAAUGGCAUUCAUGGAAACAGCUCAGGAAAUUUCAGAAAUAUCCAUUUUUACAUCUAUAAAUAUAAAAAGGAUGGCAUUGUCUUUUUCAAGAAUUUGGAUGAGAUUUACUGAUGUUGAAGAAAAUGAUAACUUUAUUGAUGUGAUAACAAAACAACCAUCGAAAGAACCAAUACCGUGGAAGGUUGAGGAACCGAAUGGAAACUAUUUUGAAAGCUGUACAAUACUGGAUACUUCAAUAGGAAAAGUAUCAGACUUUGGCUGCACCUCUCAACUAGCCUUUGUGUGUCAACACGUCACAUACAACUACAAACUAAAAGGACUUUGUGUUGAAUCUGCCAUUGAUAGAAAAUUUCGGAUUGCUGAAACACUGAUGAACGAUAAAAGAUUUUUUAUCAGUAAUUACGGCUGGAUUAUAUAUUGGAAUGGAAAAAACUGGUGCAUUAAAAACAUAGCUAAAUCCUCUAAUUCUACUGGUAUAUUAAUAUCCUCUUCAGUCACCUAUCCAGUUGGAAGAUUUACCUGGAAUAUUGAAAAUGAUGCCUGCACAAUAAACAAGGAUGCUGCCCUCACCCUAACCCUCACAAACUGCGCUGAGGAUGAGUUUACUUGUGACAAUGGGAACUGUGUGUCUAUGGAGAAAAGAUGCGAUCUAGUCUCAGACUGUUUGGAUAUCAGUGAUGAAAAGAAUUGUAAGAUUGUUGUAAUGGAUGCCACAAAGUAUCUACAAGAUAAACCUCCAGAAGCUGCCCCUGGGGAAAAAACUGUAACUGUUUCAGUAUCUGUAAACGUAUUUGAGAUACUGAAAGUAGAUGAGGUUGGAGGAAUAUUUGAGACACAGCAUGAAAUUCAGCUGAGUUGGAGAGAUUCAAGAUUAAGUUUUUAUAAUUUAAAACAAGAAUCAUUCAUGAAUAAACUUGUUAGUCAGGAGAAGAAUUCCAUAUGGGUUCCAUCAGUGACAUUCUUGAACACUGCAUCCCAAGACUUCACACUAAAUGAUAUCUCCUCGUAUGUCAAAGUGCUGCGUAAGAGUAACCUAACCCAAGUAUCUGAUAUAUCGCAUGAAAACGCGUAUAUCUACGAUGGAGAUUCCAACCCCUUGGUUUUGGGUCGAGUAUAUAAAACAUCAUGGAUUUGUCAGUACGAUACUCUCUGGUACCCCUUUGAUACACAGACGUGUAAACUUCAGUUUGUGAUUGAUUCUGAUGCUUUAUUUUUCAUGAAUCUAAGAAAUGCUACGUAUAACUACACUGGACCCAUGGAGCUCACCCAAUACUUUAUCAGAUCCUAUGCUUUCAAAAAAGAAAGUGAACAGAUAUCUAUUUAUGAGUUUGUUCUGGGAAGGAGACUGUUGGUUCACUUCCUAACAAUCUACCUACCCACCUUGCUCCUAAACCUAAUCGGUCACGCUACGAACUAUUAUGUAACUAUUUUAGUUUGUUCUGGGAAGGAGACUGUUGGUUCACUUCCUAACAAUCUACCUACCCACCUUGCUCCUAAACCUAAUCGGUCACGCUACGAACUAUUUUGAUCAUGAACAUUUUGAUGCCAUUGUCACUGUCAAUCUAACUGUGAUGCUUGUGUUGGUAACCAUGUUUGUAAAUAUAAACAGUAAUCUACCGAAGACAAGUUAUAUGAAGAUGGUUGAAUUAUGGUUAAUUGUUACACUCAUUAUUCCUUACGUGGAGGUUCUUAUAUUCACAUACAAGGAAAUUUUAAGAAUGAGAGAGGAUGAGGAAAAGAAAAAGAAGAAACAGAAAGAAAUUCAAGAAUUGAAUGUAACAAAUCAACCUGCCUUUUACAGGAGACCAAGUAUUGGAACUGGUUAUAAAAAUGCGAAAAAUAUAAGCUUUGUUGGUCUGCAAAUGAGAAAAGAACUUUUUCCAGUUGCUCACUUAGAUGUUGAAGAA